CUUGGUCAUUUAGAGGAAGUAAAAGUCGUAACAAGGUUUCCGUAGGUGAACCUGCGGAAGGAUCAUUAACAAAUCAUCAUGUGUGCCUGGGCGCAAGCCUGUGGCCUCCACAUUAACCCGAACCUGGCAGCGAUGCCGGGCGAGGUGUGCUUAUAUAGCACUUUUUGGUGCUUAUAGGCACGGCGAAGGUCUUUGGACCGGAGCCACAUAGACGCUUGUAUAUGUUUGACAGAGUUUAGUUGACACUUGAAAAAUGACAACUUUUAACAAUGGAUCUCUUGGCUCUUGCAACGAUGAAGAACGCAGUGAAAUGCGAAACGUAAUGCGAUUUGCACGAAUCUGUGAGUCAUCAAGUCUUUGAACGCACCUUGCACCGUAUGAGCAAUUGUACGGUAUACCUGUUUGAGAAUCGUAAAACACCCAUCAACACACUUGUGUGUUGGAAUUGUCGGCAUCCCCGAUUAAAUGCAUUAGGUUUGGAUCAGGCUAGUGGUCUGAGACAUCAUGUGCUAGAGAUACCUCGUGUGUCUUCUCAUGGUGCGUCUCAGGUCCAUACAAAAGCUGGCCUGCAAAGGACCUUUAACUGCGCUAAGGGCUCUCACACCCUUAGGCAACCCCCCCUCUUUGAUCUCAAAUCAGGUAAGGCUACCCGCUGAACUUAAGCAUAUCAAUAAGCGGAGGA
This 682-nucleotide ribosomal RNA is filed under the name uncultured Basidiomycota. RNAcentral describes it as "eukaryotic LSU rRNA". The stretch from base 259 to 412 matches the Rfam family "5.8S ribosomal RNA". Lineage: Eukaryota; Fungi; Basidiomycota. The record is from RNAcentral.